RNAcentral lists this ribosomal RNA (230 nucleotides) under uncultured bacterium. RNAcentral's name for it is "partial 16S ribosomal RNA". It matches the Rfam family "Bacterial small subunit ribosomal RNA", at positions 562 to 791 of the family's 1533-position model. The record is from RNAcentral.
AAAGCGGGUGUAGGUGGCUCUCUAAGUCAGAAGUGAAAGCCCCAGGCUUAACCUGGGAAGUGCUUUUGAUACUGGAGAGCUUGAAUGUGGGAGAGGAUCGUGGAAUUCCAGGUGUAGUGGUGAAAUACGUAGAUAUCUGGAGGAACACCGGUGGCGAAGGCGGCGAUCUGGCCCAACAUUGACACUGAGACCCGAAAGCGUGGGGAUCAAACAGGAUUAGAUACCCUGGU